AGAAGAUAGAAGUAUUUAUAAAAAAAAAAUUCUGGCAUAAUUUUUUAAUAGAUAUCUUGAUAAUUGGUUUGAUAAUUUCAUAAUGCUGUAUAAAAUUUUAUAAGUAAUUAUUGCAUAUGUAUAUAAGUGUAAGGCAACCAUAUUUAGUGAUGCAUACCCAGAGCCAUUCCAAUCUAGAUGAUAACUGGAUAUAUGGAUGUGUGGAAUACUCUUUUUACAGAAAAAAAAAGAAUGGCAAAGAAUGGGUUCAAUACUCCUUCUGCCUCACACCUUACUAUGAACUGUACCAAAAAGAGUCAGUGGACAAAGAUGUCUACAUGUGUGAUAUAUGCAGCAUCACAGAUUUGGAAUAAUCUGAACAGCAGCAUAAAAUUUAUAUUAAGAAAACAAUAACAAAUUUACAAUAUUUUUGAAAAUAAGAAUGCC
RNAcentral lists this long non-coding RNA (426 nucleotides) under Androctonus crassicauda. The record is from RNAcentral. Lineage: Eukaryota; Metazoa; Arthropoda; Arachnida; Scorpiones; Buthidae.